Molecule: long non-coding RNA, 1516 nt
Organism: Bombina bombina (fire-bellied toad)
Lineage: Eukaryota; Metazoa; Chordata; Amphibia; Anura; Bombinatoridae
Exons: 2
Source: RefSeq, a predicted model, not a curated record
AGCACGGCAUAGUUGUAUACUGUAACACCUUUGCCUUGACUAAGUGGACAAGGCUUGGAGUAAGGCAGAUUAACACCCAUUUAUCUUAUAAUGUGACAGCAGUGGAUUUUACCCAUAAACCUGUUUCUUGUCAUAUGUAAGUCAUGGUGUAUACAUAUAAUUAGCUGAUAUCACUCAGUAGGAUAUUAUGUGCAUUUUUUGUUUGCUUCACCUAGGAGGACAUAUUUCUAAAUCCGAUAAGGUGUUUCUUAUUGAUAUCCUGUGCUGAAUAAACCAACUUUUCUUGUCAAUUUUUUAUAGACUUUUCCCUUUCCACCAAUUCAGCUGUCCUAUAAGCCUUGAUGCCUAAUAAUCCAAACUCGCCAUCAUGGAGAGAAAUCACAAAAAAUCUAUGGGGAUUUUUUAUUUAGAAUUAUAUGUAAGGUUUAGCACAACCAUUGAUGUUAAGCAGAAACAAAGAGCUGCCAUUGAGUUCUUGACCAAAGAAGGAUGUACUGCUGCCGACAUCCACCAAAGGCUCAGAAAUGUGUAUUGUGAGGCGACAACUGAUGUGUGUAAUGUGCGAAGAUGGGUGAAAAAGUUUAAAGGAGAUUAAACCAGAGUUGAAGAUAUUACGCAUAGUGGCAGGCCAUCAACAGCAGUCACAGAUAAAAAUCAAAACAAGGUUGAACUAAUUGAUUCACACAGACCUGUGCAUCACUGUCCGAGAGAUUUUUGGGGAACUUACUGGAAAGUGUGUGCUAAAUGGGUUUCUCAUUAUUAACAACUGAUUUGAAAGAGAAGAUACUACAGGUGUAUUCAGAACUGUUGGCAGCAUUUGAAGCCAACAAGAAAACUUUUUUGGGGAAUUUUUGCACUGGCGAUGAGACCUCGGCAUACCUUUAUGACCUAGAGGCCAAGAAUCAGUUGAAGGAGUGGCGGCACUACAGCUCCCCUAGACUAAAUAUAUUCAGAAGCCAGUGCUCAGCACACAAGUUUAAAUAUCUUCUGGAAUAACAAGGGGGUGAUUUUGCUUGAUUCUCUUGAAUGUGGGACAACAAUUAACAGCGACAGCUACAUUGUAUCACUCUGGAAACUUAGAGAAGCCAUCUGCAAGAAAAGACCACAGAAACAGCUGAAUGCAAUCCAGUUACACCACAAUAAUGCACAACCUCACACUUCUUUGGCAACAUCACAGAUUCUUGCAAAAAUGGGAUGGUCAGUGGUACCACAUCCACUUUACAGCCCUGAUCUCACACCCUUAGACUUCCAAUUGUUCGGUCAAAUGAAGGAAAAUCUUCGGGGACGGUGCUUAAAUAAUAUAGGUGAAGUGACAGACGCUAUCAGAUGCUGGGUGAGGGAGUGUCCCAAAAACGAUUCCAAAGUGGCUUUGAUAAGUGGUUUAACGGUGGCGCAAAUGCAUCGCCACUAGAGGAGACUAUUUUGAAUAGUUCCAUAUUGUAGAUAAAGAGUUACUCUACACAUGUAGGUAGUUCCACAUGUCUUGUGUUGUUAAUAAAUGACUUAUGACCUGAAA